UUUUUUCCUUUUUUUUUUUUUGGUGUCCAU
Molecule: small RNA, 30 nt
Filed under: Arabidopsis thaliana (thale cress)
Lineage: Eukaryota; Viridiplantae; Streptophyta; Magnoliopsida; Brassicales; Brassicaceae
Description: ATSL249170
Source: RNAcentral